UACCAGCACCCCGGGUGGUCGGGACGUUUAUUGGGCCUAAAGCAUCCGUAGCCGGUUCUACGAGUCUUCCGUUAAAUCCAACUGCUUAACAGGUGGGCUGCGGAAGAUACUAUAGAGCUAGGAGGCGGGAGAGGCAAGCGGUACUCGAUGGGUAGGGGUAAAAUCCGUUGAUCCAUUGAAGACCACCAGUGGCGAAGGCGGCUUGCCAGAACGCGCUCGACGGUGAGGGAUGAAAGCUGGGGGAGCAAACCGG
Molecule: ribosomal RNA, 253 nt
Filed under: uncultured bacterium
Lineage: Bacteria
Description: partial 16S ribosomal RNA
Rfam family: Archaeal small subunit ribosomal RNA
Source: RNAcentral